GCCGAGAACAGUGGUGUGCGCCUGUAGUCCCAACUACUCUGGAGGCUGAGGCUGGAGGAUUGCUUGAGCCCAGGAGUUCUGGGCUGUAGUGCGCUAUGCCGAUUGGGUGUCCGCACUAAGUUCGGCAUCAAUAUGGUGACCUCCCGGGAGCGGGGGCCUACCAGGUUGCCUAAGGAGGGGUGAACCAGCCCAGGUCAGAAACGGAGCAGGUCAAAACUCCCGUGCUGAUCAGUAGUGGGAUCGAGCCUGUGAAUAGCCACUGCACUCCAGCCUGGGCAACAUAGCGAAACCCUGUCUCU
This 299-nucleotide signal recognition particle RNA is filed under the name Aotus nancymaae (Ma's night monkey). RNAcentral's name for it is "Metazoan signal recognition particle RNA (ENSANAG00000003408.1)". It matches the Rfam family "Metazoan signal recognition particle RNA". From Rfam's summary of the family: The signal recognition particle (SRP) is a universally conserved ribonucleoprotein. It is involved in the co-translational targeting of proteins to membranes. The eukaryotic SRP consists of a 300-nucleotide 7S RNA and six proteins: SRPs 72, 68, 54, 19, 14, and 9. Lineage: Eukaryota; Metazoa; Chordata; Mammalia; Primates; Aotidae. The record is from RNAcentral.